This 108-nucleotide small nuclear RNA is filed under the name Neogale vison (American mink). Lineage: Eukaryota; Metazoa; Chordata; Mammalia; Carnivora; Mustelidae. The record is from RNAcentral.
GUGCUCCCUUCUGGAGCACACUGCUAAAAAAAUUAGACAAUACAGAGAAGAUUAGUGUGGCCCCCACCCAAGGGUGACAUGCAAAAAGAUAUCCAUUUAGAAAUGGUU